RNAcentral lists this long non-coding RNA (614 nucleotides) under Bos indicus x Bos taurus (hybrid cattle). Its description in RNAcentral is "lncRNA (ENSBIXG00005010733.1)". The record is from RNAcentral. Lineage: Eukaryota; Metazoa; Chordata; Mammalia; Artiodactyla; Bovidae.
GACAGUUUGUUUUGCUCAGUCUACUGAUCUAAUUAUUCAUCUAAUCUAAAAAAUACCUUCACAGCAACAUCCAAAUGUGUUUGACCAGCUGUCUGGGUCCUGUGGUCCCACCAAGUUGGUACAAAAAAUCACCAGGCUCUUCUCCCCAUCUCCCUAUUUUUUCACAGGUAAGGAAACUGAGGCUUAGAGAAGUAAGACAACUUGCUCAAGUCAUGCAGGAGUGUGUGAUUUAACUCAGAAGCCAUGCCUUAGCCUCCACGUUACAUUGUCAAGCCUGCUGCCCUGAUCCCACAGGCUCAUCUUCACUCCCCAGGGAAAAAGACUUGAAAUAGAUGGAUAAGAGAAUCGGUGUGUUUCAUGCACGAGCCUGUGGGAGUUGGCAUUCUGAGAGCAGCAUUCUUUCUCCCAGAGAGAAUCUGAAGGUCUGGUGUGGACCCUCCCUGAGAAGCUGCUCUGUCUCGUGGCUGAAAGCCCGUCUGCUUCCAAGGUGUGAAAUCUGUCUUUACCUUGACUCUCUGCCUGAAAAAUAUGCGGGCUCGUGUAAGAUGGGGACCUUGAGCUGUGACGGGAGCAUCUUCAAGCCACAGAGCCCGGCUGUCUCACUUUCUAGUUAA